RNAcentral lists this ribosomal RNA (255 nucleotides) under Shigella sonnei. RNAcentral's name for it is "partial 23S ribosomal RNA". It matches the Rfam family "Bacterial large subunit ribosomal RNA", at positions 322 to 579 of the family's 2925-position model. Lineage: Bacteria; Pseudomonadati; Pseudomonadota; Gammaproteobacteria; Enterobacterales; Enterobacteriaceae. The record is from RNAcentral.
GUGUGUGUUAGUGGAAGCGUCUGGAAAGGCGCGCGAUACAGGGUGACAGCCCCGUACACAAAAAUGCACAUAUUGUGAGCUCGAUGAGUAGGGCGGGACACGUGGUAUCCUGUCUGAAUAUGGGGGGCCCAUCCUCCAAGGCUAAAUACUCCUGACUGACCGAUAGUGAACCAGUACCGUGAGGGAAAGGCGAAAAGAACCCCGGCGAGGGGAGUGAAAAAGAACCUGAAACCGUGUACGUACAAGCAGUGGGAG